CCACCCGUGUCUAUCGUACCUUGUUGCUUCGGCGGGCCCGCCGUUUCGACGGCCGCCGGGGAGGCCUUGCGCCCCCGGGCCCGCGCCCGCCGAAGACCCCAACAUGAACGCUGUUCUGAAAGUAUGCAGUCUGAGUUGAUUAUCGUAAUCAGUUAAAACUUUCAACAACGGAUCUCUUGGUUCCGGCAUCGAUGAAGAACGCAGCGAAAUGCGAUAAGUAAUGUGAAUUGCAGAAUUCAGUGAAUCAUCGAGUCUUUGAACGCACAUUGCGCCCCCUGGUAUUCCGGGGGGCAUGCCUGUCCGAGCGUCAUUGCUGCCCUCAAGCACGGCUUGUGUGUUGGGCCCCCGUCCCCCUCUCCCGGGGGACGGGCCCGAAAGGCAGCGGCGGCACCGCGUCCGGUCCUCGAGCGUAUGGGGCUUUGUCACCUGCUCUGUAGGCCCGGCCGGCGCCAGCCGACACCCAACUUUAUUUUUCUAAGGUUGACCUCGGAUCAGGUAGGGAUACCCGCUGAACUUAAGCAUAUCAAUAG
Molecule: ribosomal RNA, 530 nt
Filed under: Aspergillus fumigatus
Lineage: Eukaryota; Fungi; Ascomycota; Eurotiomycetes; Eurotiales; Aspergillaceae
Description: eukaryotic LSU rRNA
Rfam family: 5.8S ribosomal RNA (bases 157-310)
Source: RNAcentral